Molecule: ribosomal RNA, 534 nt
Filed under: Triticum aestivum (bread wheat)
Lineage: Eukaryota; Viridiplantae; Streptophyta; Magnoliopsida; Poales; Poaceae
Description: partial small subunit ribosomal RNA
Source: RNAcentral
AUGAGUGAGACGUUUACGAGCUCGGCUCAGCAACAAUCAGACCCUCCUUGUCUGCCUCUUGCAAGGUUAGCAAUAAUUCACAAGGUUAUUCUAACUCGUCUCCAAAUCGAAAUUUUUACAAAUCUGCACAAUCAAGCAAAAAUUGGGUAUAUAGUGCGGAUCUGGGAGCAAGCACCUGGUACUUGGGGACUUUCAGACGGGGGAUCUGGUGGUGCCGCCAAUUUCCAGCGAUGUCAGCUGAGAGGAGGCGGGCCCGGAGCAGCAGCCGGCGACGGGAUGACGGGGAGCACCUCGAGAGCAUGGCCGACCAGUUCCAUGGCUCCCUCAGUAGGGAGUUGGCCGGCUGAAGAGCGGUGGAGGCAUAGGAGGAGGGGGGAGAGGAGUUGGGGGAUGGUGUGGCGCCGGCGUCGUGUGUCUCCGGUGAUGGAAAGCCGCAGGGGUGGCGGCGCGCGGCGGCGUGGCGGGGGUCGGCUGCGGCGGUGCACGGCGGCGUGUCGGGGGCCGGCGGUGCGCAGCAGCGUGGCAGGGGGCUGA